AUGCAUGGAGAGCCGUGGAAAUUCCGGGACUAUGCUGUGGUGAUAGAAGAGUAUGAUGGCUUUACGAAUGCACAUGAUUACAAACUCAAUCGUAUUCCUGUAUGGGCCAGGAUCAUGGGAGUCCCGGAUGGUCUGACUAAGAAGAAGGAAGUUGCUGAAAAAAUAGCAAAAAAGGUUGGGAAACCACCUGUCAGGGUGGUUGUCAACGAUGGAAGGAUUAUCACUACAAAGUACCUGCGUGCUAGGGUAUUUCUGGAGCUAGACCAGCCACUGGUUCGCUUUGUCCCAAUUACGCUUAAAGAGAGCAAAAAAUACCCGGUUGAAUAUGAAAAGCUUCCUGAUUUCUGUCACUUUUGUGGGCUGAUUGGGCAUGUUGUGUCCGAGUGUGGGGAUGGACUACACCCUCCUAAGACCUGUGAAUGGGGUGAUUGGCUUCUAGUAAAUUUUGAUCGGCCUGAUUCUGAUGGCCAAGCGGGUCGUGGCAGGGACAGAACGGACAGUUUGCUGGCCGAGGAGGGGGCUUUGGCAGAGGCUGUGGUGUAG
This 543-nucleotide ribosomal RNA is filed under the name Triticum aestivum (bread wheat). Its description in RNAcentral is "partial small subunit ribosomal RNA". The record is from RNAcentral. Lineage: Eukaryota; Viridiplantae; Streptophyta; Magnoliopsida; Poales; Poaceae.